This 292-nucleotide ribosomal RNA is filed under the name uncultured bacterium. Its description in RNAcentral is "partial 16S ribosomal RNA". It matches the Rfam family "Bacterial small subunit ribosomal RNA", at positions 505 to 796 of the family's 1533-position model. The record is from RNAcentral.
GUGCCAGCCGCCGCGGUAAUACGUAGGGGGCAAGCGUUGUCCGGAAUCACUGGGCGUAAAGCGUGCGUAGGCGGUUUUUCAAGUCUGGGGUGAAAGUCCAUGGCUCAACCAUGGGAAUGCCUUGGAAACUGGGAGACUUGAGUACUGGAGAGGCAAGGGGAAUUCCACGUGUAGCGGUGAAAUGCGUAGAUAUGUGGAGGAAUACCAGUGGCGAAGGCGCCUUGCUGGACAGUUACUGACGCUGAGGCACGAAAGCGUGGGGAGCAAACAGGAUUAGAAACCCGGGUAGUCC